RNAcentral lists this ribosomal RNA (522 nucleotides) under uncultured archaeon. RNAcentral's name for it is "bacterial SSU rRNA". It matches the Rfam family "Archaeal small subunit ribosomal RNA", at positions 325 to 849 of the family's 1478-position model. The record is from RNAcentral.
ACGGGGUGCAGCAGGCGCGAACACUUUACAAUGCGGGAAACCGCGAUAAGGGAACCCCGAGUGCCAGCAUCAAAUGUUGGCUGUCCAGAUGAUUAAAAAUCAUUUGUUAGCAAGGGCCGGGCAAGACCGGUGCCAGCCGCCGCGGUAACACCGGCGGCCCGAGUGGUAGCCGUUUUUAUUGGGUCUAAAGGGUCCGUAGCCGGCCUGAUAAGUCCUUUGGGAAAUCUGGCAGCUUAACUGUCAGGCUUCUAAGGGAUACUGUCAGGCUUGGGACCGGAAGAGGUAAGGGGUACUCCAGGGGUAGGAGUGAAAUCUUGUAAUCCCUGGGGGACCAUCUGUGGCGAAGGCGCCUUACCAGAACGGGUCCGACGGUGAGGGACGAAAGCUAGGGGAGCAAACCGGAUUAGAUACCCGGGUAGUCCUAGCUGUAAACGAUGCUCGCUAGGUGUCAGACACGGUGCGGCCGUGUUUGGUGCCGCAGGGAAGCCGCUAAGCGAGCCACCUGGAAGUACGUCGCAAGGC